Lolium perenne is the source of this 878-nucleotide non-coding RNA. The record is from RefSeq and is a predicted model, not a curated record. Lineage: Eukaryota; Viridiplantae; Streptophyta; Magnoliopsida; Poales; Poaceae.
GGAAGCCAGGACUAAGGGGUUUGAAUUGAGGCAUACCUCCAAACCAUUACUAGAUUGCACCUUCUUUCCCUGGACGCCUAGGCUGUCUGUUAUGAAAAUUGUUGUUUGAGUACACUGAAAUCCCAUAUGAAGAAGGUAUCAUGGGCAAGUAAGUGGAAGAGAAUACUUGCCUUGGUUGACGGCGAUGACCUCAGAGUUACUGAUUAUGUUUUUUGUCGCCUGGUUCAUCGAGCGCACAUCGCACCCGAUCAGAAGUGGGGCCUACACAACUCGAACCAGUAUUGCAGUGAGAAAAUGCCGGAAAAUUGAGAACUGAAGCGACAAUGUUAAAUGCAUAUGGGAAAAUAAGUACCUUGGCAAGUGCCCAGAUGCUGAAGUGCGAGCGGUACUCAGCUUCAGUCAUCCCACCAUUCCCAACCUCAAGCAUGUCAGGAUCUGAGAUUGGAGCAGGACAUCGUCAAUUGAUCAGUUCAAUUCUGAUAAAUGUUUAGGCAAUUGCCAAUACUGGUACAGACUCGUCUGAAACUGUUACCGUUCCAUCCACCAGGUCCAGCGUAGGCGGCCCACUUGUCAUUCUGGUCCGCGCGGGAUGUCAUGCUGGAGUAACAAGGUAACUUAUGAUCAAUCCUGCUAAUUCUAGUACUCCAAUGAACAGUUGAUGCAAUGAGCAGCACCUGACCCAGUUGUCGGCGAUGUCGUCAGUUGUCCUCCAGCUAUUACCCAUGCUACCUGCCCAUGUAGCAGGGUUUUCUUUCCCCCUAAACAGCAACCGCACAAUAGAAUGAAACAGUAAUGUUUGAUGUUGCUACUGUCCAUCCUAAAUGUUAUGAAGAGCAAACUCACCAUUCACAGAGCGAGAAGAAGAUAUUCUUUCCGUA